RNAcentral lists this transfer RNA (72 nucleotides) under Phycisphaerae bacterium. Its description in RNAcentral is "tRNA-Thr". It matches the Rfam family "tRNA". Rfam says of the family: Transfer RNA (tRNA) molecules are approximately 80 nucleotides in length. Their secondary structure includes four short double-helical elements and three loops (D, anti-codon, and T loops). Further hydrogen bonds mediate the characteristic L-shaped molecular structure. tRNAs have two regions of fundamental functional importance: the anti-codon, which is responsible for specific mRNA codon recognition, and the 3' end, to which the tRNAs corresponding amino acid is attached (by aminoacyl-tRNA synthetases). tRNAs cope with the degeneracy of the genetic code in two manners: having more than one tRNA (with a specific anti-codon) for a particular amino acid; and 'wobble' base-pairing, i.e. permitting non-standard base-pairing at the 3rd anti-codon position. RNAcentral also lists the same sequence under 1 other name. Lineage: Bacteria; Pseudomonadati; Planctomycetota; Phycisphaerae. The record is from RNAcentral.
GCCGAAGUAGCUCAACGGUAGAGCACGGCUUUCGUAAAGCCGGGGUUAUGGGUUCAAAUCCCAUCUUCGGCU